CUUGUUUCAACAUUAUCAAACCUGUAAUCACUAUUGUUUGAUGGACUUGUAUGCAUCAUUACCCACAGUGUGCUUAAGUGGGCUCUCCAACCUAUAAUACAAACAUGUGAACCACCUGUGUUCGUUCACAUGCGAACCAGCUGUUGGGUGAGGUGAGCUUCCAGGCUGUGAAGAGCUGCUCUGUUCCCAAGACAAAAAGCCCACAUUCAAACAGAAGAAAGUGGAGUUUCCGGCAUGAGGUCAUUGUGUUGUGUAGGAGAGGAAGAGCAGAGGACUUGAGGUGAAGACAAGAUGGAUGAACAAAGGAAGUAGGGAGAAAGAGGAGAGAGAGAGGGUACUGAGUUCAUAGCAUCACAGCCUGGUAACACAAAAUCACAGACACCCAAACACUAACACUCACACCAGGUUGCAAAACUAGAGGCCACAGUGAGAUGAACUAGACCUUCUGGAAUUGUUGACGUUGCAUUGGACCAGGAAAACAAAUUGU
Tachysurus vachellii is the source of this 487-nucleotide long non-coding RNA. RefSeq lists it as uncharacterized. The record is from RefSeq and is a predicted model, not a curated record. NCBI's taxonomy places the organism in Eukaryota, Metazoa, Chordata, Actinopteri, Siluriformes, Bagridae. The transcript has 3 exons.